RNAcentral lists this transfer RNA (73 nucleotides) under Patescibacteria group bacterium. Its description in RNAcentral is "tRNA-Ala". It matches the Rfam family "tRNA". From Rfam's summary of the family: Transfer RNA (tRNA) molecules are approximately 80 nucleotides in length. Their secondary structure includes four short double-helical elements and three loops (D, anti-codon, and T loops). The record is from RNAcentral.
GGGCCGUUAGUUCAGUCAGCAGAACACUCGAUUCGCAUUCGAGAGGUCGCCGGUGCAAUUCCGGCACGGUCCA